Molecule: ribosomal RNA, 305 nt
Filed under: uncultured bacterium
Lineage: Bacteria
Description: bacterial SSU rRNA
Rfam family: Bacterial small subunit ribosomal RNA
Source: RNAcentral
GCCUACGGGGGGCAGCAGUAGGGAAUCUUCCACAAUGGGCGAAAGCCUGAUGAAGCAACGCCGCGUGGGUGAAGAAGGUCUUCGGAUCGUAAAACCCUGUUGUUAGAGAAGAAAGUGCGUGAGAGUAACUGUUCACGUUUCGACGGUAUCUAACCAGAAAGCCACGGCUAACUACGUGCCAGCAGCCGCGGUAAUACGUAGGUGGCAAGCGUUAUCCGGAUUUAUUGGGCGUAAAGGGAACGCAGGCGGUCUUUUAAGUCUGAUGUGAAAGCCUUCGGCUUAACCGGAGUAGUGCAUUGGAAACU